UACAGAGGUCUCAAGCGUUGUUCGGAUUCAUUGGGCGUAAAGGGCGCGUAGGCGGCGCGGUAAGUCGGGUGUGAAAUCUCGGGGCUUAACUCCGAAACUGCAUUCGAUACUGCCGUGCUUGAGGACUGGAAAGGAGACUGGAAUUUACGGUGUAGCGGUGAAAUGCGUAGAUAUCGUAAGGAAGACCAGUGGCGAAGGCGGGUCUCUGGACAGUUCCUGACGCUGAGGCACGAAGGUCAGGGGAGCAAACGGG
This 253-nucleotide ribosomal RNA is filed under the name uncultured bacterium. RNAcentral describes it as "partial 16S ribosomal RNA". It matches the Rfam family "Bacterial small subunit ribosomal RNA", at positions 524 to 776 of the family's 1533-position model. The record is from RNAcentral.